CGGAAGGAUCAUUGUCGAAACCUGCC
This 26-nucleotide ribosomal RNA is filed under the name Elatine ambigua. Its description in RNAcentral is "partial 18S ribosomal RNA". The record is from RNAcentral. Lineage: Eukaryota; Viridiplantae; Streptophyta; Magnoliopsida; Malpighiales; Elatinaceae.